AUGCUCACUUUGGCAGCACAUAUGCCAAAAUUGGAACAAUACAGAGAAGAUCAGCCUGGCCCCUGAACAAGGAUGACAACAUAUAAAAAAGAAAAAGAAAUGCAC
Callithrix jacchus (white-tufted-ear marmoset) is the source of this 105-nucleotide small nuclear RNA. The record is from Ensembl. Lineage: Eukaryota; Metazoa; Chordata; Mammalia; Primates; Cebidae.